RNAcentral lists this transfer RNA (86 nucleotides) under Clostridium porci. RNAcentral describes it as "Clostridium sp. WCA-389-WT-23D1 tRNA-Ser". It matches the Rfam family "tRNA". From Rfam's summary of the family: Transfer RNA (tRNA) molecules are approximately 80 nucleotides in length. Their secondary structure includes four short double-helical elements and three loops (D, anti-codon, and T loops). Lineage: Bacteria; Bacillati; Bacillota; Clostridia; Eubacteriales; Clostridiaceae. The record is from RNAcentral.
GACGAGAUGUCCGAAUCGGUAAGGAGCCGGAUUGGAAAUCCGGUAUGCGAGUCAUCGCUGUAUGGGUUCGAGUCCCAUUCUCGUCG